AUGUACAACACCUCCAAGCACUAUGUAUGCUACCUAGUAGGGAUGAAACUUCCAGGGUCUUGGGCUGAGGUUGUGUUCACUCAGCCCAAGUCAGUGUCUGGAUCUUUGGGGCAGAAGAUCACCAUCUCUUGCACUCGCAGUAGUGGAAACAUUGGAAGCAAUUAUGUAUACUGGUAUCAGCAGCGCUCAGCAAACUCACCCCGUCUGCUCAUCUAUGAGUAUGAUCAAAGACCUUCUGGGGUACCAGAUAGGUUCUCUGGCUCCAAGGACAGCUCCUCCAACUCUGGCAUCCUAACUAUCUCUGGGUUGCAGCCUGAGGAUGAAGCUGACUACUACUGCCUGUCUGGUUAUGACAGUGUUCCACACAGAGCCCCAGAUUUAUGGGGAACUGAGACAAAAACUCUCUAG
Molecule: non-coding RNA, 408 nt
Organism: Peromyscus californicus insignis
Lineage: Eukaryota; Metazoa; Chordata; Mammalia; Rodentia; Cricetidae
Source: the annotation of a RefSeq genome assembly